Molecule: ribosomal RNA, 485 nt
Filed under: uncultured Anaerolineaceae bacterium
Lineage: Bacteria; Bacillati; Chloroflexota; Anaerolineae; Anaerolineales; Anaerolineaceae
Description: bacterial SSU rRNA
Rfam family: Bacterial small subunit ribosomal RNA
Source: RNAcentral
GCUCAAGAAACUACAAAGGUAAGUACGACGGGGCCCCGCACAAGCAGCGGAGCGUGUGGUUUAAUUCGAUGCUACACGAAGAACCUUACCAGGGUUUGACAUACAAGUAGUAGGGAAAGGAAACUGGACCGACCCUUCGGGGAGCUUGAACAGGUGCUGCAUGGCUGUCGUCAGCUCGUGUCGUGAGAUGUUCGGUUAAGUCCGCUAACGAGCGCAACCCUCGCUGUGUGUUACAAGUGUCACACGGAACUGCCGGUCAUAAACCGGAGGAAGGUGGGGAUGACGUCAAGUCAGCAUGGCCUUUAUAUCCUGGGCUACACACACGCUACAAUGGGAAGGGACAAUAGGUUGCGAAGCCGCGAGGCGGAGCCAAUCCAGCAAAACUUCCCUCAGUUCAGAUUGCAGGCUGCAACUCGCCUGCAUGAAGUUGGAGUUGCUAGUAAACGCAGGUCAGCCAUACUGCGUUGAAUACGUUCCCGGGGCUU